UGAAUCUGGAAUGGUCUUUCUGGAAUGGU
Molecule: non-coding RNA, 29 nt
Filed under: Rattus norvegicus (Norway rat)
Lineage: Eukaryota; Metazoa; Chordata; Mammalia; Rodentia; Muridae
Source: RNAcentral